Molecule: ribosomal RNA, 465 nt
Filed under: uncultured bacterium
Lineage: Bacteria
Description: partial 16S ribosomal RNA
Rfam family: Bacterial small subunit ribosomal RNA
Source: RNAcentral
CCUACGGGUGGCAGCAGUAGGGAAUCUUCCACAAUGGACGAAAGUCUGAUGGAGCAACGCCGCGUGAGUGAAGAAGGGCUUCGGCUCGUAAAGCUCUGUUGGUAGUGAAGAAAGAUAGUGGUAGUAACUGGCCUUUAUUUGACGGUAAUUACUUAGUAAGUCACGGCUAACUACUUGCUAGCAGCCGCGGAAAUACGUAGGUGGCAAGCGUUGUCCGGAUUUAUUGGGCGUAAAGCGAGUGCAGGGGGUUGAAUAAGUCUGAUGUGAAAGCCUUCGGCUCAACCGGAGAAUUGCAGCAGAAAGUGUUGAACUUGAGUGCAGAAGAGGAGAGUGGAACUCCAGGUGUAGCGGUGGAAUGCGUAGAUAUAUGGAAGAACACCGGUGGCGAAGGCGGCUCUCUGGUCUGCAACUGACGCUGAGGCUCGAAAGCAUGGGUAGCGAACAGGAUUAGAUACCCUUGUAGUC